GGGCCCGUGGCUCAAUGGUAGAGCGUUUGACUCAAAUACCAAAGGUCAAGGGUUCGAAUCCCAGGUGUGCCUU
Molecule: non-coding RNA, 73 nt
Organism: Schistocephalus solidus
Lineage: Eukaryota; Metazoa; Platyhelminthes; Cestoda; Diphyllobothriidea; Diphyllobothriidae
Source: Rfam